Molecule: non-coding RNA, 97 nt
Organism: Gnomoniopsis sp. IMI 355080
Lineage: Eukaryota; Fungi; Ascomycota; Sordariomycetes; Diaporthales; Gnomoniaceae
Source: the annotation of a GenBank genome assembly
GGUCGGAUGGCCGAGCGGUUAUGGCGCCAGGUUAAGGUCACCUUAACAGUGUAUCCUGGUGGAGCAAUCCUCGUGGGUUCGAAUCCCACUCCGAUCA